This is a long non-coding RNA of Prunus dulcis (almond), 1477 nucleotides long. RefSeq lists it as uncharacterized. The record is from RefSeq and is a predicted model, not a curated record. NCBI's taxonomy places the organism in Eukaryota, Viridiplantae, Streptophyta, Magnoliopsida, Rosales, Rosaceae. The transcript is spliced from 4 exons.
GAUCGAAAAACAGAGAAAAAAAUUUUCCCAAAACUUUUUAGAAAGACCCCUUUCACUUUUCUUCACAGUUUUUGAGCUCUCUGUGUUGCUGAACAUGGAGACCAUCUACCAAUACUCCAUCUCUCAAGUUGAACAACAAAACCAAGUUUUGCCCACAACCCAUCUCCUCGCUUGCGACUGUUUCAUCUUCCACUUAGACUUCACCCAUCAACUCAAAUUGUGCUUCCCUCAGGAUUUGAACAUACCCUUGAACUCAAUUCAAGAAUCCUUCUUUGUACCCUUUGAUGUGUUUUUCUCACACACCCAAGAAACCAUCCAAACGGUACUAUCUGGCUCUGGUGUUUCAAUGGACUUUGUUCAUGUCCUGCUGCCUGAAGUUCAUUCUUUUGCUAUGGACGUUGCCCAGGAGCCUGCAAAUGCUGGACCCAGAAUAGUCCCAUUGAUUUUGGCUGUUCUUGCUGUGACACCUUUUGAUGACCGUGACCAAAUUGAGAGGGCUAUAAUGGAAUCUGGGCAAGUCUUUAAUCCAGUUCCGGCUGCCAAAUCCUCCAUUGCGGGGCUCAAGAAGGUCAAGAUUGACAAUUUGAGCGUGACAAAGGAAUGUAGCAUCUGUUUGGAAGAGUUCUCUGCUGGGUUGGAGGUUGUGCUCAUGCCCUGCUCUCAUCUUUACCAUAAAGAUUGCAUUGUUGAAUGGCUGAAAAGAAGUCAUCUGUGCCCCUAUUGCCGCUUCAAAUUGCCAACUUGAUUGCAUUGAAUUAUCUCAGUGUGUGUUGAAUUGGAUUGCCAAAGUUGCCACAUCUCGUGGUGCAUACAGCAUAUUGGCUGUGUACAUUCAAGAACAAGUUUGAUGGGUUGAUCACAUUCAAGGAUUACACGCUUAUCAAGACUAUAAUGGAAAUUGGGGUGUUUCCUAGAUCAAGAUGAGCUUCUUGUACUGAAGAUUAAGAAGGGAACUUGUAUGGCAAUGCACAGGCUAGUUACUUUGAAUAUCUGAUUGAGAGGAAGAAGCAACAUGUUCUGAAAAUUGCACAUCAGAUGCGAAGGGGUACGUUCAGCACAGAUCAUGAAGUGCUGAUGAAGCUGAAAGCACUCGUGCAUUCGCCUUUUAAAUGCAAAAAACAUGGACAAAGUUCGGCUCCUGUGAUGAUCCUUGUCCAGUGAACACAAACAGUUUCUAUUUUUUCGAAACAGGUGGCUCUUUGAGCCUUGUUUGAUCUGCUGGUUACAACAAGAUCAGCCAUGCUCUAUUUAGCACUGCUUUAGUCUGCAGUUGGCUUCCCAGUUCUUGUGUUAUUUGCGGGGUUUUGGUUCUAGUCCCCCUCAUUGUAUUCUUUUUUUAAAAAUGGUUUAUUAAUAAAAUGGAGGGAUGGGCGGGGGGCUCCCAAAAGUGUAGGUCCCCUCUCCUUCGGGAUUGAGGGUGGACGCUUGCGUCUUGUGACCUUCACUGAGGAGCUAAUCUCGCCUAAUCCUCUAGUAG